GCCGAGAAUUUUUCACAAUGGGCGAAAGCCUGAUGGAGCGACGCCGCGUGGGGGAUGAAUGGCUUCGGCCCGUAAACCCCUGUCAUUCGCGAGCAAACGUUAUUAUUUAAAAGAUGAUAGCCUGAUAGUAGCGAAAGAGGAAGGGACGGCUAACUCUGUGCCAGCAGCCGCGGUAAUACAGAGGUCCCAAGCGUUGUUCGGAUUUACUGGGCGUAAAGGGUGCGUAGGUGGUGGGGUAAGUCGGAUGUGCAAUCUCCGAGCUCAACUCGGAAAGUGCAUUGGAAACUACCCUGCUCGAGGGUUGGAGGGGGGACUGGAAUACUUGGUGUAGCAGUGAAAUGCGUAGAUAUCAAGUGGAACACCAGUGGCGAAGGCGAGUCCCUGGACAACUCCCGACACUGAGGCACGAAAGCUAGGGGAGCAAACAG
RNAcentral lists this ribosomal RNA (428 nucleotides) under uncultured bacterium. RNAcentral's name for it is "bacterial SSU rRNA". It matches the Rfam family "Bacterial small subunit ribosomal RNA", at positions 354 to 775 of the family's 1533-position model. The record is from RNAcentral.